Molecule: ribosomal RNA, 2777 nt
Filed under: Salmonella enterica subsp. enterica serovar Paratyphi B
Lineage: Bacteria; Pseudomonadati; Pseudomonadota; Gammaproteobacteria; Enterobacterales; Enterobacteriaceae
Description: bacterial LSU rRNA
Rfam family: Bacterial large subunit ribosomal RNA
Source: RNAcentral
AGCGUACACGGUGGAUGCCCUGGCAGUCAGAGGCGAUGAAGGGCGUGCUAAUCUGCGAUAAGCGCCGGUAAGGUGAUAUGAACCGUUAUAACCGGCGAUACCCGAAUGGGGAAACCCAGUGUGACUCGUCACACUAUCAUUAACUGAAUCCAUAGGUUAAUGAGGCGAACCGGGGGAACUGAAACAUCUAAGUACCCCGAGGAAAAGAAAUCAACCGAGAUUCCCCCAGUAGCGGCGAGCGAACGGGGAGGAGCCCAGAGCCUGAAUCAGCAUGUGUGUUAGUGGAAGCGUCUGGAAAGGCGCGCGAUACAGGGUGACAGCCCCGUACACAAAAGCGCAUGUGUUGUGAGCUCGAUGAGUAGGGCGGGACACGUGGUAUCCUGUCUGAAUAUGGGGGGACCAUCCUCCAAGGCUAAAUACUCCUGACUGACCGAUAGUGAACCAGUACCGUGAGGGAAAGGCGAAAAGAACCCCGGCGAGGGGAGUGAAAAAGAACCUGAAACCGUGUACGUACAAGCAGUGGGAGCACAGGUUUACCUGUGUGACUGCGUACCUUUUGUAUAAUGGGUCAGCGACUUAUAUUCUGUAGCAAGGUUAACCGUAUAGGGGAGCCGGAGGGAAACCGAGUCUUAAUUGGGCGUUAAGUUGCAGGGUAUAGACCCGAAACCCGGUGAUCUAGCCAUGGGCAGGUUGAAGGUUGGGUAACACUAACUGGAGGACCGAACCGACUAAUGUUGAAAAAUUAGCGGAUGACCUGUGGCUGGGGGUGAAAGGCCAAUCAAACCGGGAGAUAGCUGGUUCUCCCCGAAAGCUAUUUAGGUAGCGCCUCGUGAAUUCAUCUCCGGGGGUAGAGCACUGUUUCGGCUAGGGGGCCAUCCCGGCUUACCAACCCGAUGCAAACUGCGAAUACCGGAGAAUGUUAUCACGGGAGACACACGGCGGGUGCUAACGUCCGUCGUGAAGAGGGAAACAACCCAGACCGCCAGCUAAGGUCCCAAAGUCAUGGUUAAGUGGGAAACGAUGUGGGAAGGCCCAGACAGCCAGGAUGUUGGCUUAGAAGCAGCCAUCAUUUAAAGAAAGCGUAAUAGCUCACUGGUCGAGUCGGCCUGCGCGGAAGAUGUAACGGGGCUAAACCAUGCACCGAAGCUGCGGCAGCGACGCUUAUGCGUUGUUGGGUAGGGGAGCGUUCUGUAAGCCGUUGAAGGUGGCCUGUGAGGGUUGCUGGAGGUAUCAGAAGUGCGAAUGCUGACAUAAGUAACGAUAAAGCGGGUGAAAAGCCCGCUCGCCGGAAGACCAAGGGUUCCUGUCCAACGUUAAUCGGGGCAGGGUGAGUCGACCCCUAAGGCGAGGCCGAAAGGCGUAGUCGAUGGGAAACGGGUUAAUAUUCCCGUACUUGGUGUUACUGCGAAGGGGGGACGGAGAAGGCUAUGUUGGCCGGGCGACGGUUGUCCCGGUUUAAGCGUGUAGGUGUGUGUUCCAGGUAAAUCCGGUUCACUUUAACACUGAGGCGUGAUGACGAGGCACUACGGUGCUGAAGUAACAAAUGCCCUGCUUCCAGGAAAAGCCUCUAAGCAUCAGGUAACAUCAAAUCGUACCCCAAACCGACACAGGUGGUCAGGUAGAGAAUACCAAGGCGCUUGAGAGAACUCGGGUGAAGGAACUAGGCAAAAUGGUGCCGUAACUUCGGGAGAAGGCACGCUGAUAUGUAGGUGAAGCGGUUUACCCGUGGAGCUGAAAUCAGUCGAAGAUACCAGCUGGCUGCAACUGUUUAUUAAAAACACAGCACUGUGCAAACACGAAAGUGGACGUAUACGGUGUGACGCCUGCCCGGUGCCGGAAGGUUAAUUGAUGGGGUCAGCGCAAGCGAAGCUCCUGAUCGAAGCCCCGGUAAACGGCGGCCGUAACUAUAACGGUCCUAAGGUAGCGAAAUUCCUUGUCGGGUAAGUUCCGACCUGCACGAAUGGCGUAAUGAUGGCCAGGCUGUCUCCACCCGAGACUCAGUGAAAUUGAACUCGCUGUGAAGAUGCAGUGUACCCGCGGCAAGACGGAAAGACCCCGUGAACCUUUACUAUAGCUUGACACUGAACAUUGAGCCUUGAUGUGUAGGAUAGGUGGGAGGCUUUGAAGUGUGGACGCCAGUCUGCAUGGAGCCGACCUUGAAAUACCACCCUUUAAUGUUUGAUGUUCUAACGUGGACCCGUGAUCCGGGUUGCGGACAGUGUCUGGUGGGUAGUUUGACUGGGGCGGUCUCCUCCUAAAGAGUAACGGAGGAGCACGAAGGUUGGCUAAUCCUGGUCGGACAUCAGGAGGUUAGUGCAAUGGCAUAAGCCAGCUUGACUGCGAGCGUGACGGCGCGAGCAGGUGCGAAAGCAGGUCAUAGUGAUCCGGUGGUUCUGAAUGGAAGGGCCAUCGCUCAACGGAUAAAAGGUACUCCGGGGAUAACAGGCUGAUACCGCCCAAGAGUUCAUAUCGACGGCGGUGUUUGGCACCUCGAUGUCGGCUCAUCACAUCCUGGGGCUGAAGUAGGUCCCAAGGGUAUGGCUGUUCGCCAUUUAAAGUGGUACGCGAGCUGGGUUUAGAACGUCGUGAGACAGUUCGGUCCCUAUCUGCCGUGGGCGCUGGAGAACUGAGGGGGGCUGCUCCUAGUACGAGAGGACCGGAGUGGACGCAUCACUGGUGUUCGGGUUGUCAUGCCAAUGGCACUGCCCGGUAGCUAAAUGCGGAAGAGAUAAGUGCUGAAAGCAUCUAAGCACGAAACUUGCCCCGAGAUGAGUUCU